UAUUAAAAAUUUCAUCUAUUUUUACUGUUAAAAACUAGUGUAGCUAAUGGAAUAAUCAAAUAAUUACACGUGACCAUGUGUACUUCAUUCUGACGUAUAGGAACUAGUUUUUAACAAUAGAAAUGGAUAAAAAUUUUAGUA
Molecule: non-coding RNA, 141 nt
Organism: Gossypium hirsutum (cotton)
Lineage: Eukaryota; Viridiplantae; Streptophyta; Magnoliopsida; Malvales; Malvaceae
Source: Rfam